UCCUGACCACCCAUGCAGCACAGUAUUUG
This 29-nucleotide non-coding RNA is filed under the name Rattus norvegicus (Norway rat). Lineage: Eukaryota; Metazoa; Chordata; Mammalia; Rodentia; Muridae. The record is from RNAcentral.